UUUCAUGAUGAGUUCUAGAGUCACAGGCUCUGCAGUGACCAGCUGAACCAGCCAGCACUCCCUGUCCUGUCAGCUCUGCAGUUCCUCAGGUGGCCAGCCUGGCUCUGGGAUGCGGCUUCUGUGCUAAGAAAGCUAAGCCCGGCUGCCCAGCUGGACUCGGCCUUCAGCAGAGCUGGGGAGACUCCAGUGUGACUUGACUGCCUUGUAGUCAGAGUUCCCG
Molecule: long non-coding RNA, 220 nt
Filed under: Bos taurus (domestic cattle)
Lineage: Eukaryota; Metazoa; Chordata; Mammalia; Artiodactyla; Bovidae
Description: long non-coding RNA NONBTAT005758
Source: RNAcentral